Molecule: ribosomal RNA, 2258 nt
Filed under: Baia soyae
Lineage: Bacteria; Bacillati; Bacillota; Bacilli; Caryophanales; Thermoactinomycetaceae
Description: partial 23S ribosomal RNA
Rfam family: Bacterial large subunit ribosomal RNA
Source: RNAcentral
AGCGAAAGCGAGUCUGAAUAGGGCGCUUUAGUACGUAGUCGUUGACCCGAAACCAGGUGAUCUACCCAUGUCCAGGAUGAAGUUCCGGUAACACGGAAUGGAGGUCCGAACCCACUAGUGUUGAAAAACUAGGGGAUGAGGUGUGGGUAGCGGAGAAAUUCCAAUCGAACCUGGAGAUAGCUGGUUCUCCCCGAAAUAGCUUUAGGGCUAGCCUUGGGAGCCUAAGUCAUGGAGGUAGAGCACUGAUUGGGCUAGGGGUCCUUCCCGGAUUACCGAACUCAGUCAAACUCCGAAUGCCAUGUACUUGUACCCCAGGAGUCAGACUGCGAGUGCUAAGAUCCGUAGUCAAGAGGGAAACAGCCCAGACCACCAGCUAAGGUCCCUAAAUGAUCGUUCAGUGGAAAAGGAUGUGGAGUUGCCUAGACAACCAGGAUGUUGGCUUAGAAGCAGCCACCAUUGAAAGAGUGCGUAAUAGCUCACUGGUCAAGUGACUCUGCGCCGAAAAUGUAACGGGGCUAAACGAUCUACCGAAGCUGUGGAUGGCACCACUUAAGUGGUGCGAUGGUAGGGGAGCGUUCUAAGUGCAGCGAAGCUCGAGCGUAAGCGAGGGUGGAGCGCUUAGAAGUGAGAAUGCCGGUAUGAGUAGCGAAAAGAGGGGUGAGAAUCCCCUCCACCGUAAGCCUAAGGUUUCCUGAGGAAGGUUCGUCCGCUCAGGGUUAGUCGGGACCUAAGCUGAGGCCGAAAGGCGUAGGCGAUGGACAACAGGUUGAUAUUCCUGUACCACCAUGAUUCGUUUGUACGAUGGGGGGACGCAGGAGGGUAGAGAAUCGCGCGACUGGAAGUGCGCGUCCAAGCAGUGAGGCAGGGGAGAUAGGCAAAUCCGUUUCCCUUUUAAUGCUAGGCUGUGAUGGCGAGGGAAAUUUAUAGUACCGAAGUUCUUGAUCUCACACUGCCAAGAAAAGCCUCUAGGAGAAGAUUGGUGCCCGUACCGCAAACCGACACAGGUAGGCGAGGAGAGAAUCCUAAGGUGCUCGGGAAAACUCUCGUUAAGGAACUCGGCAAAAUGACCCCGUAACUUCGGGAGAAGGGGUGCCCCCUUAUGGGGGGCCGCAGUGAAUAGGCCCAGGCGACUGUUUAGCAAAAACACAGGUCUCUGCGAAGCCGCAAGGCGAAGUAUAGGGGCUGACGCCUGCCCGGUGCUGGAAGGUUAAGGGGAAAGGUUAGCGCAAGCGAAGCUUUGAACUGAAGCCCCAGUAAACGGCGGCCGUAACUAUAACGGUCCUAAGGUAGCGAAAUUCCUUGUCGGGUAAGUUCCGACCCGCACGAAAGGCGUAACGAUCUGGGCGCUGUCUCGACGAGAGACCCGGUGAAAUUGUAUUGCUAGUGAAGAUGCUAGCUACCCGCGACAAGACGGAAAGACCCCGUGGAGCUUUACUGUAGCCUGAUAUUGAAUCUAGAUACGACUUGUACAGGAUAGGUGGGAGUCGCUGAAGCCAGGACGCCAGUCUUGGUCGAGACAACGGUGGGAUACCACUCUGGUCGUAUCGGGGUUCUAACUCGCGCCCGUCAUCCGGGCGGAGGACCGUGUCAGGUGGACAGUUUGACUGGGGCGGUCGCCUCCUAAAAGGUAACGGAGGCGCUCCAAGGUUCCCUCAGCGCGGUUGGAAAUCGCGCCUAUAGAGUGCAAAGGCAUAAGGGAGCUUGACUGCGAGACCUACAAGUCGAGCAGGGACGAAAGUCGGACUUAGUGAUCCGGUGGUUCCGAGUGGAAGGGCCAUCGCUCAACGGAUAAAAGCUACCCCGGGGAUAACAGGCUUAUCUCCCCCAAGAGUCCACAUCGACGGGGAGGUUUGGCACCUCGAUGUCGGCUCAUCGCAUCCUGGGGCUGAAGUAGGUCCCAAGGGUUGGGCUGUUCGCCCAUUAAAGCGGUACGCGAGCUGGGUUCAGAACGUCGUGAGACAGUUCGGUCCCUAUCUGUCGUGGGCGUAGGAAAUUUGAGGAGAGCUGUCCUUAGUACGAGAGGACCGGGAUGGACAUACCGCUGGUGUACCAGUUGUCUCGCCAGAGGCAUCGCUGGGUAGCCAUGUAUGGACGGGAUAAGCGCUGAAAGCAUCUAAGCGCGAAGCCCCCUCCAAGAUGAGAUUUCCCACUGACUUAGUCAGGUAAGACCCCUUGUAGACGACGAGGUUGAUCGGUCUGAGGUGUACGCACAGCAAUGUGUUCAGCUGACAGAUACGAAUCGGUCGAGGGCUUAUCCU